Molecule: ribosomal RNA, 440 nt
Filed under: uncultured bacterium
Lineage: Bacteria
Description: partial 16S ribosomal RNA
Rfam family: Bacterial small subunit ribosomal RNA
Source: RNAcentral
CCUACGGGUGACAGCAGUGGGGAAUAUUGCACAAUGGGGGAAACCCUGAUGCAGCGACGCCGCGUGAGUGAAGAAGUAAUUCGUUAUGUAAAGCUCUAUCAGCAGGGAAGAAAAUGACGGUACCUGAGUAAGAAGCCCCGGCUAACUACGUGCCAGCAGCCGCGGUAAUACGUAGGGGGCAAGCGUUAUCCGGAUUUACUGGGUGGAAAGGGAGCGUAGACGGCAGUGCAAGUCUGGAGUGAAAGGCGGGGGCUCAACCCCCGGACUGCUCUGGAAACUGUACGGCUGGAGUGCAGGAGAGGUAAGUGGAAUUCCUAGGGUAGCGGUGAAAUGCGUAGAUAUUAGGAGGAACACCAGUGGCGAAGGCGGCUUACUGGACUGUAACUGACGUUGAGGCUCGAAAGCGUGGGGAGCAAACAGGAUUAGAUACCCCUGUAGUC